Molecule: ribosomal RNA, 492 nt
Filed under: uncultured bacterium
Lineage: Bacteria
Description: partial 16S ribosomal RNA
Rfam family: Bacterial small subunit ribosomal RNA
Source: RNAcentral
AGUGAACGCUGGCGGUAGGCCUAACACAUGCAAGUCGAACGGCAGCACAGUAAGAGCUUGCUCUUACGGGUGGCGAGUGGCGGACGGGUGAGGAAUACAUCGGAAUCUACUUUUUCGUGGGGGAUAACGUAGGGAAACUUACGCUAAUACCGCAUACGACCUACGGGUGAAAGCAGGGGAUCUUCGGACCUUGCGCGAUUGAAUGAGCCGAUGUCGGAUUAGCUAGUUGGCGGGGUAAAGGCCCACCAAGGCGACGAUCCGUAGCUGGUCUGAGAGGAUGAUCAGCCACACUGGAACUGAGACACGGUCCAGACUCCUACGGGAGCCAGCAGUGGGGAAUAUUGGACAAUGGGCGCAAGCCUGAUCCAGCCAUACCGCGUGGGUGAAGAAGGCCUUCGGGUUGUAAAGCCCUUUUGUUGGGAAAGAAAAGCAGCAGGUUAAUACCCCGCUGUUCUGGCGGUACCCAAAGAAUAAGCACCGGCUAACUUCGUG